CCUACGGGAGGCAGCAGUGAGGAAUAUUGGACAAUGGACGAGAGUCUGAACCAGCCACGUAGCGUGAAGGAUGACUGCCCUAUGGGUUGUAAACUUCUUUUAUAUGGGAAUAAAACGUUCCACGUGUGGGAUUUUGUAUGUACCAUAUGAAUAAGGAUAGGCUAACUCCGUUCCAGCAGCCGCGGUAAUACGGAGGAUCCGAGCGUUAUGCGGAUUUAUUGGGUUUAAAGGGAGCGUAGGUGGAUUGUUAAGUCAGUUGUGAAAGUUUGGGGCUCAACCGUAAAAUUGCAGUUGAAACUGGCAGUCUUGAGUACAGUAGAGGUGGGCGGAAUUCGUGGUGUAGCGGUGAAAUGCUUAGAUAUCACGAAGAACUCCGAUUGCGAAGGCAGUUCACUGGACUGCAACUGACACUGAGGCUCGAAAGUGUGGGUAUCAAACAGGAUUAGAUACCCCAGUAGUC
RNAcentral lists this ribosomal RNA (460 nucleotides) under uncultured bacterium. Its description in RNAcentral is "partial 16S ribosomal RNA". It matches the Rfam family "Bacterial small subunit ribosomal RNA", at positions 338 to 795 of the family's 1533-position model. The record is from RNAcentral.